This is a non-coding RNA of Lemur catta (Ring-tailed lemur), 1016 nucleotides long. The record is from the annotation of a RefSeq genome assembly. Lineage: Eukaryota; Metazoa; Chordata; Mammalia; Primates; Lemuridae.
GGCAGGAGAGGGGGCUCAGGACGCGGAUUUGCAUGGAGGCCCCUCCUCUGAGCAGGGAUAAGAGAGGCUGGAGCAGGCCCAGCGCUGGGCUCAGGGGCAGCGCUCUGGGGGUCUCCACCAUGGCCUGGGCUCUGCUCCUCCUCUCCCUCCUCUCUCAGGGCACAGGGUCCGGGGCCCAGUCUGCCCUCACCCAGCCUCCCUCCGUGUCCGGGACUCUGGGACAGUCGGUCACCAUCUCCUGUGCUGGAACCAGCAGUGACGUUGGGGGUUAUGAUGCUGUCUCCUGGUACCAACAGCACCCGGGCACAGCCCCCAAACUCCUGAUUUAUGCUGUGACUACUCGGGCCUCGGGGACCCCUGAUCGCUUCUCUGGCUCCAAGUCUGGCAACACGGCCUCCCUGACCAUCUCAGGGCUCCGCACUGAGGACGAGGCUGACUAUUACUGCAGCUCACCUAGGACUGGUUACAGUCCCCACAGUGGUGCAAGUUCCUGGGGAAGUGAGACCAAAACCUGCCCUGAGCUCACAGCCCCUCCUGCUCUGAAGACGCUUCCCCUCCCUGUGCAGAGGGGGCUGCAGGCCACACACCUGGGGAUUCCCUCCCUUGUCAGCCCCUCCUCUCCCUCCCUGAUGUCCAACCUUCUCUCUGGUUGACCAUCUAGGACAAUGACAGCUCUCCUUCCCUGUGUGACGUGGUCCCACAUGUGCAGCUGUCUCCAGCUCUGCAACGGCGGGGACUCUGUGACAAGGAGCUGCCUGCUGGGUGUAGCCCCUGCUGUUUGGGGAAAUCCUCACCCUAAACGCCUCCCCGUCUCCCACCCCAUGAGGACCAGCCUGGAGAGGAGUCAUUAGUGACGUCUCCAGAAACGGCGUCUUACCCAACCCGGUUUCUACCGGGCUCUAGUGCAGGUGGCCCUCCCUGCUGGGCUCAUCCUCGGCACGUCUGUACUGAAGCAGGUACCCCCAUGACAAGAUCUGAAGGUACUUUGGAGGGAUAAAUACAAGGGGAAGAUGUUC